AUGAUGCCUCUAUUCAAGCCUAUGGUUUUAGCAAAGGAUUGGAAAUUGAACCACUAUUCCUUAUAUGUCAUGAAUCGGUACCGAAGUAGCGUUGACAUUCUUGACUCUUUACCUUAUCCGAAGAACUCCCGUCCUUCAAAGCAAACCUAUCAUAAAUACUGCAAGAAGAUUUACAAUGCGAGCAAGCAGCCCAAUUGGGAGCUGUUUGCAAAGAAACCAACAUUUGUCAAGGUUCCACUUCAAGGGGAAAAUGAAUGUGGCCAUUAUACUCUGAAGUAUGUGGGAUCCUAUGAUGGUGAAAAGAUCGUUGAGAACAUUUGA
RNAcentral lists this ribosomal RNA (321 nucleotides) under Triticum aestivum (bread wheat). Its description in RNAcentral is "partial small subunit ribosomal RNA". Lineage: Eukaryota; Viridiplantae; Streptophyta; Magnoliopsida; Poales; Poaceae. The record is from RNAcentral.